Molecule: ribosomal RNA, 616 nt
Filed under: uncultured bacterium
Lineage: Bacteria
Description: bacterial SSU rRNA
Rfam family: Bacterial small subunit ribosomal RNA
Source: RNAcentral
CCUACGGGAGGCAGCAGUAAGGAAUAUUGGUCAAUGGAGGCAACUCUGAACCAGCCAUGCCGCGUGCAGGAUGACGGCCCUAUGGGUUGUAAACUGCUUUUAUACAAGAGAAAACCCUGGUACGUGUACCAGGUUGAUAGUAUUGUAAGAAUAAGCAUCGGCUAACUUCGUGCCAGCAGCCGCGGUAAGACGAAGGAUGCAAGCGUUAUCCGGAUUCAUUGGGUUUAAAGGGUGCGUAGGCGGACUGAUAAGUCAGUGGUGAAAUCUCUUUGCUUAACAAAGAAACUGCCAUUGAUACUGUCGGUCUAGAGUAUAGAUGACGUUGGCGGAAUAUGACAUGUAGUGGUGAAAUACUUAGAUAUGUCAUAGAACACCGAUUGCGAAGGCAGCUAACGAAACUAUAACUGACGCUGAGGCACGAAAGUGCGGGGAUCAAACAGGAUUAGAUACCCUGGUAGUCCGCACCGUAAACGAUGAUUACUCGUUGUUGGCGAUAUGACAGUCAGCGACCAAGCGAAAGCGAUAAGUAAUCCACCUUGGGGAGUACGCCGGCAACGGUUGAAACUUCAAAGGAUUGACGGCUUGAGACGNGCGAGGACGACGACGAGGGAGGAGG